CGGGAAUUUUGGGCAAUGGGCGAAAGCCUGACCCAGCAACGCCGCGUGAAGGAUGAAAUCCCUCGGGAUGUAAACUUCGCAAGAACAGGAAGAAUAAGUAAGGGUUAAUAUCUCUUACGAUGACGGUACGGGUGGAAGAAGCACCGGCUAACUCUGUGCCAGCAGCCGCGGUAAUACAGAGGGUGCGAGCGUUGUUCGGAAUUAUUGGGCGUAAAGGGCGCGUAGGCGGUGCGGUAAGUCACCUGUGAAAUCUCCUGGCUCAACUGGGAGCUUGCAGGCGAAACUGCCGUGCUGGAGUGUGGGAGAGGUGCGUGGAAUUCCUGGUGUAGCGGUGAAAUGCGUAGAUAUCAGGAGGAACACCUGUGGCGAAAGCGGCGCACUGGACCACAACUGACGCUGAGGCGCGAAAGCUAGGGGAGCAAAC
Molecule: ribosomal RNA, 424 nt
Filed under: uncultured bacterium
Lineage: Bacteria
Description: bacterial SSU rRNA
Rfam family: Bacterial small subunit ribosomal RNA
Source: RNAcentral